RNAcentral lists this ribosomal RNA (395 nucleotides) under uncultured bacterium. Its description in RNAcentral is "bacterial SSU rRNA". It matches the Rfam family "Bacterial small subunit ribosomal RNA", at positions 30 to 429 of the family's 1533-position model. The record is from RNAcentral.
AUUGAACGCUGGCGGCAUGCCUUACACAUGCAAGUCGAACGGCAGCGGACCUUCGGGUGCCGGCGAGUGGCGAACGGGUGAGUAAUAUAUCGGAACGUACCUUUCAGUGGGGGAUAACGUAGGCGAAAGUUACGCUAAUACCGCAUAUUCUGUGAGCAGGAAAGCAGGGGAUCGCAAGACCUUGCGCUGAUUGAGCGGCCGAUAUCAGAUUAGCUAGUUGGUGAGGUAAAGGCUCACCAAGGCGACGAUCUGUAGCGGGUCUGAGAGGAUGAUCCGCCACACUGGAACUGAGACACGGUCCAGACUCCUACGGGAGGCAGCAGUGGGGAAUUUUGGACAAUGGGCGCAAGCCUGAUCCAGCCAUGCCGCGUGAGUGAAGAAGGCCUGGUUGUAAG